This 91-nucleotide transfer RNA is filed under the name Pedobacter sp. PACM 27299. RNAcentral describes it as "tRNA-Ser". It matches the Rfam family "tRNA". From Rfam's summary of the family: Transfer RNA (tRNA) molecules are approximately 80 nucleotides in length. The record is from RNAcentral. Lineage: Bacteria; Pseudomonadati; Bacteroidota; Sphingobacteriia; Sphingobacteriales; Sphingobacteriaceae.
GGAGAGAUGUCCGAGUGGCUGAAGGAGCACGCUUGGAAAGCGUGUGUACCUCAAAAGGGUAUCGAGGGUUCGAAUCCCUCUCUCUCCGCGA